Molecule: long non-coding RNA, 789 nt
Filed under: Marmota monax (woodchuck)
Lineage: Eukaryota; Metazoa; Chordata; Mammalia; Rodentia; Sciuridae
Source: RNAcentral
CUUGCUUUCUUACCUCCACCUUCCAGAUAUGGGGAGAAGCCAUGUUGGAGCAGCUCUAUGGAGGGGACCCCCAUUGUGAAGAAUUGAAGCCUCCUGCUCACAGCCACAUGAAAUUGAAAGCACGUUCUCCUGGCACCGUCAAACCUUUCAAUGAUUGCUUCCCUGAAAGUCAGCCCAAUUAUAACUUCAUGAGAGACCCUGAGCCUACUCCAGAUUCAUGACCCUGAGAAACUCUGUGAGAUAACUACUGUUUCAUGUUUCAAGCUGUUAAAUUUUGGGGCAAUUAGUUACACAGCAAUAGGCAACUAACACAUAGAUUGGACAGAUUCUGAUGACGUACACAGGAUGUUGGAUGUUCACUGUGCCUACAGGAUGACAUCUAGUCUCUCACACGUGAUACCCAGAAUUCUUUAGUAUCUGCCUCUUAUCACUUCAGCCUCUUAUUUUUACUACACUAGAUCAUCAGAGCUCUGCUUUAUUCUUCACAACUUGCUGGUAUUAUUCAAAUAAAUUAUGCAAUUCUUUUCUUCCCUCAAUUGUUAUUCUUUCAUUUAUUUGCUGAAUUCCUGAUUAUCCUUUAAGACUCGGAUCAACAUUACCUCAUUCUUGACCUCCCAGGGUAUUUUGUCUCUUUCCCCACCGCUUAAGAUUCUUAUUUCAAGCCACAUAGCCCUACAGUUUUCUUAACAUUCUUGGUAAUUCAAGACUAAUUAUUUCAAAGUUUACUUCUUUCAUAAAAUUUAUCUCACAGCCAAUGUAGAAUUAGACCCUCAUUGCCUUGGAUACUCA